Molecule: ribosomal RNA, 448 nt
Filed under: uncultured bacterium
Lineage: Bacteria
Description: bacterial SSU rRNA
Rfam family: Bacterial small subunit ribosomal RNA
Source: RNAcentral
AGCCAGACUCCUACGGGAGGCAGCAGUGGGGAAUAUUGCACAAUGGGGGAAACCCUGAUGCAGCGACGCCGCGUGAGUGAAGAAGUAUUUCGGUAUGUAAAGCUCUAUCAGCAGGGAAGAAAAUGACGGUACCUGAUUAAGAAGCCCCGGCUAACUACGUGCCAGCAGCCGCGGUAAUACGUAGGGGGCAAGCGUUAUCCGGAUUUACUGGGUGUAAAGGGGGCGCAGACGGCAAUGCAAGCCAGGAGUGAAAGCCCGGGGCCCAACCCCGGGACUGCUCUUGGAACUGCAUGGCUGGAGUACAGGAGGGGCAGGCGGAAUUCCUAGUGGAGCGGUGAAAUGCGUAGAUAUUAGGAGGAACACCAGUGGCGAGGGCGGCUUACUGGACUGUAACUGACGUUGAGGCUCGAAAGCGUGGGGAGCAAACAGGAUUAGAUACCCGUGUACA